Molecule: ribosomal RNA, 476 nt
Filed under: Alternaria sp. GL2AB-1
Lineage: Eukaryota; Fungi; Ascomycota; Dothideomycetes; Pleosporales; Pleosporaceae
Description: eukaryotic LSU rRNA
Rfam family: 5.8S ribosomal RNA (bases 116-269)
Source: RNAcentral
UUAUUCACCCUUGUCUUUUGCGUACUUCUUGUUUCCUUGGUGGGUUCGCCCACCACUAGGACAAACAUAAACCUUUUGUAAUUGCAAUCAGCGUCAGUAACAAAUUAAUAAUUACAACUUUCAACAACGGAUCUCUUGGUUCUGGCAUCGAUGAAGAACGCAGCGAAAUGCGAUAAGUAGUGUGAAUUGCAGAAUUCAGUGAAUCAUCGAAUCUUUGAACGCACAUUGCGCCCUUUGGUAUUCCAAAGGGCAUGCCUGUUCGAGCGUCAUUUGUACCCUCAAGCUUUGCUUGGUGUUGGGCGUCUUGUCUCUAGCUUUGCUGGAGACUCGCCUUAAAGUAAUUGGCAGCCGGCCUACUGGUUUCGGAGCGCAGCACAAGUCGCACUCUCUAUCAGCAAAGGUCUAGCAUCCAUUAAGCCUUUUUUUCAACUUUUGACCUCGGAUCAGGUAGGGAUACCCGCUGAACUUAAGCAUAU